CCCAGGGAAAGUAAAAAGGAUAUUCUUUCAACACAUACACAGUGAGCACAGCAGAGAGAUACACCAGAUGUUAUGAAGGCUUGCGUCGACCCCAAGAUGCCCUGCCCAGUUGGCUUUUGCCCCAGCUGCUGUGUUAGUUGAUAUGACUGAGUGGCACUCUUCUCAUAAGAAUUCCGUUUCCACAGGUUACACCACCACCCUCCCUGGAUGCAGUGUGCAGUCAGUGAAGGUCUGAUAGGUGCAGCAUGAGCUGAGUGCCAGCCACAAUUGUAGCAGAAGAAGAAACCUAAGAGAGACUGAAUUUUCCGUACAGUUAUGGGUUGAGCAGUGUAGGGGGCCCGGCCCCCCCCCCCCCCCCCGCUGGAACUCUUGAGUGCCUUCUACGGACAUGCCCGGGCUUGUUGCAGAUCUACCCGGCAACAAGGAAGUAGCCCCAGUACACUCCUCUUGCUCCUCCCCUCUCGCCCUACGGUAUAUAUGUUGUAACAGCUUCCGUAAUAAACGAGACUUGAUCAAAAACCUGUCUUGUCUCCAUCUCUCGUGUCCCCUGUCCCCUCUCAUCCUCGCUCCCCCUCUAG
RNAcentral lists this long non-coding RNA (578 nucleotides) under Heterocephalus glaber (naked mole-rat). RNAcentral's name for it is "lncRNA (ENSHGLG00000032606.1)". Lineage: Eukaryota; Metazoa; Chordata; Mammalia; Rodentia; Bathyergidae. The record is from RNAcentral.